Molecule: long non-coding RNA, 253 nt
Organism: Parasteatoda tepidariorum (common house spider)
Lineage: Eukaryota; Metazoa; Arthropoda; Arachnida; Araneae; Theridiidae
Gene: Ufm1
Source: RefSeq, a predicted model, not a curated record
AAAUGUGGCAAAUCUUUUUUCGUUCUGUUUUGCCUUUUUAACUGUAUUUGUAGUUUCCUAUGAUUGUUGAUCUUGAUGGUUGAUUGUUUUCAUCGAUAGAUCUAGUUCCAUUUUCACUGACGUGGUUUUCUGGAAAUCAUUUUAGAAGCAGUCACUUGAAGUUAUAUUUUUUGCCAUGUCUAAAGUUACAUUCAAAAUAACUUUGACAUCUGAUCCGAAGUUACCUUUCAAAGUGUAAGUAUUUAUUUUAUGU